UUGACUAAUCGAAUCGAAAGACAUCCGAUUAAUCGAUGAAUCGAUUAAUUAAUCGAUAAUCGAAAACCUCUACCCUGUCUUCUGAGCGUGAGGGGGGCGAUCUGACCUGAUGAAAGUCAGUCAGACUCGCCAUCGAUGAUCGCAACCCUUUCGGGGGUAGGAAGAGAGGGGUCUCUGAGUGGU
This 183-nucleotide small nucleolar RNA is filed under the name Bemisia tabaci. Its description in RNAcentral is "small nucleolar RNA U3". The stretch from base 27 to 183 matches the Rfam family "Small nucleolar RNA U3". Rfam says of the family: Small nucleolar RNAs (snoRNAs) are involved in the processing and modification of rRNA in the nucleolus. There are two main classes of snoRNAs: the box C/D class, and the box H/ACA class. Lineage: Eukaryota; Metazoa; Arthropoda; Insecta; Hemiptera; Aleyrodidae. The record is from RNAcentral.